AUGCCAUUGAUUCUCGAACACGGGAGUUACAGGGUUUCGAGGAAGCUAACUUUCAGGACUGUAAAUAUCAGGACACAAAUCACAAGAAACGGAAAGUUUUUUAUAGAAUACUAGAAUAAAGGAAACUGUUUAAAAGCAAAAGGCAAUUCGCUGCAUCAGAGUACUGUGGAUUUUAUGGAUGGCAAUUUCAAGAGCAUCAAAUUUCAUUUUUUGUUGCAUAUAAAGAAAACAGAGUCAUUAACUGAAAAAAGAGAACAAUUGUAUUGUCAUAAAAUCAAAUGUAUAUAGUUUUGUACAAAGUGUAAAUAAUAUGGGUAGAGGACCAGAGGUUCAUUUUGAGCUAUCUUAAUAAAAUACUGUUAUUAAGUUUAGAUAGAGAUUGUAACAAAUCGGGAGUUUUAGGAAUUAAUAUAAAAUGAUUUCAGAGAAUUUGAAAAACUUGUAGUUUUUGAAAAACUCUGGAUAUGGUACCGUGAAAGGCCAUUAUUUCCAUUAGCACGGAAAUAUCAAAUCGGCGGCAGUUCAAAAACCAACAUGUUAUUUUGUUGUAUUCAAGUUAUUCAAUAUGGAACAGUUUACCAGCUAAUAUAGAUGAAAAACAAGCUCAUACACAUUCUUCAGUUUAUGCAAAUCAUUUUUCUCUGCGAAUGGAUGUUGCUGGAAUUUGUAGACAUUUGUAUCGAUAUUUGAGUCCCUAAAUAAAUUUCUCCUUGAUGAUGAUGAUGAUGAUGGAGCAUUAAAAUAUAACUUUGCAUCAGUUUUUCGCAGUACUAUGAACAACCUGUCACACUGGAGGAAAUUUAUCCAUUAAGAUAAUUUUUUCCGUUAAAAAAGUACCAGCUUCGUUUUCAAAAUCAAACUUAAUUGAUUGGCGAUUCCCCUCGUGUUGUUAUUUCAACAUAGCAGGUAGAAAUGCUAGUGUAGUACAUAAGACUUUAGAUACGAGAUUCAAUGUAUCUAGACAGUAUUAAUAGAGAAAAGCUUUUCAUCGCUGUAGUACCUUAUUACCGACAGCUUCUUCAAAAAGUUGGUGUUACCAUGCCUCACUCUGCACAUUCAAUACCCCUCGUUCCGCAAGAAAAGAGAAUCGGUUUCGCAAGAUUAUAAAAUAAGACAAACUUUAACUCAAUUUUCUCGAUAUCCAGAUUAAAACCUUCUCACAACUAGCCUAAAAUAUAACAUGCCAUAUAUAGGCUGGAAUCCCACAUUUAUCAUAGAUAAAAGGGGGCAUAAAAUGCUGAAUGUUUUGUGAAAAUGACAACAAAUUUGCCUCUAUCAUUUCAUAAAACCUUUCAAGUUUUUAUUUCAGGACAAGCAUCACACCACUUUGGCAACUAAUUUAACAAACUUUAAUUUGAAAACGUUUUGAAAGGAUACUAGCACAGCCAUCUAAAUAAUGUGAUUCAUAUGAUGAGAAAGGUGUUUAAUUGAACGAAGCAUUCUUGUAUCUUGCUCAUGAAUGCCCCCACCUGUCAAUCAUGUGGGUCCAAGCAAACAGAUCUCACAGGCUGUAAUAAACUAUUCAUAACUAAUUGAAAUCUGUAAUACUUCCAGCAAGGCUAUGUACGUUGCCUUAGUAAUUAGCAAAUAAGCUUGUUGCGUUCAAUAAGCAUGUAAACCCGUAGUCUUGAUAAACAAGUGACGAAAAGGCAUUUCAGUUGUGUGGGAUCAAACAGGAACAGGAUCUCAAAUUGGAAUCUAAGACGUGUUUAUGGGUCUCCUCCAAGAUCAUUCAACGUUUCAACUCCAAGAUUUCAACCUAAAGGAAAACAUUCAAGAAUGAAAGAAAAUGAUUGCCGAAAUGUUUCGCAAUAAUUUGAGGACAUGCAGAAACAAAAUUAUUUGUUGAUUCACUGCAAAGCUUCAAACAGAGACAUUGUCACUUACAAAAAUAUAUAUACAACCACAUCCAAGCAGUGAAUGUAAGAAACGCUCAAAAUGACUCGAAAGGAAGAUAAAAUUCACAAAUUAGCAACAAUAUAUGGUAGCAAAUCACCACAUGUCAAAAAAAGGAAGAAAAAGGUCGAAAACAAAACACCAAAGCCAUCCCCAAUUACUCCACCAAUGGUAGAAUCAAAGCCAUCUCCAAUUAAUAUUCCACCAAUAACAGAACUUGAAUACAAAGCACCAAAGUCAUCCCCGAUUAAUACUCCGCCAAUAAUACAAGGUGAAGAAUCCGAAAAGCUUGAGCCUGAUAGUCACCCUGUUGAGGAGGUAAGCGGGAAAAGAAAAUUAACUGGUAUGAAAAUGAUCUCAUUACCUCCCAUUUCCGAAGACCGGCCGUUAAGCCAGUCUGAGACAAGGGUACCCUUAAAGGAAAAUCAUCGAAGAUUGUCCUUACCGAUAAUCAACUCAAAAAAUUGUGUUGUGUCACAAGUUUUGAAACUUGACGAAGAAGGUAGUGAAGAGAAGAUAGAUGUCUACCAAAAGCCAGAUGGAAAUAAGGCAUGGGAACCAGUGACGUCACCUGGGAAUAUAAGCAACAACAAUUCACGACUGAGACGAAGAAAAAGCAGUGUAUUUCAUGCACAAGUAUACACACCGGCAAGUAGAGGAGCCAGACGACGGACAAUCCAUUCUAAGGAUGUAGCAGAACUUAUAGAGGCAUACGAAAAGAAGGAUACAAUUGAAGACCUUACUACAGAAGACACCAUGAAAGAUGGAAACAGAUUUCGUCGCGUUGCAAACUUGGUUGGGAAAGCAGCAGUGUUAAGCAAACUUUUAGUGGAUGACUUGAAUUUGCGGUACAUUAAAGCAGAGCUUUUUGAACCUGAUUAUAACGACAAAUACAAAAGAUUAGCCACUCCAGACAUCGAUACUGACGAAGAAAAUGAAGAGGCUAUUUUGACAGAAAUGUAUAGUCAGAUGAAAUAUGAAUCUGGAUCUCAAAGUGAGGCAAAAGCAACAGCUGGGAGUUCUGACGACGAAGAAGAAACAGACAGUGGCAGUGAUGAUUUGGACAGCGAUCGCUUCUCCACACCAAAAAGUGACAGACCAAACAAGACGGAAACUGCGAAUCUGGAAAGCAAUGAGGAAGAAAAGGAGAGUGAUGAAAGUGGCUCUGUGACGUCAGAUCUGAUACCAGAUGACGUCAAAGAAUUGAUAAAGACUGAGGCCAUGAGACAUGAUAACGAGCAUCUGUUUGAGUUGGGGAUUUGGAAACCUGAUGCCUUUGUAGACAAUGCCCAGGAGGCGGACGAUGAAGAAAGCGAAGAUGACUGGAGCUUGAAAAGCGAUGCGGAGGAGGACGAUGACAAAAGCAUUUCAAAUGCACCUCAGACACCUGAGCCCGAAGCACCAGAACCAGAGGUAAUUGCUAAAGUGACACCCGAGCCAGAGGCAUCUACACCAGAAGUAAUAGAUGAAGAAAUGCCUGUGCUGCCAAAAGAUGUCGCGUUACCGACUGGAGACACACCAGACAUAUUAUCAUUUUCAAGUGAAACCGAAUCGAGCUGCGUACCUACAAUUUAUGCCUCGUACUUUGAUGAAUAUGAAAGUGACGUGUUUUCAAAAAGACUUCUGGAGAAUAUUUUCUUCUUGCCUUCUUCUGUUCAUAGUGAUGGAGAUUCGGAUAUGUUUUAUUGCGUUCCAGUAUCAAACGCUUCUAACACACAAACGCCUGAUUAUUUUUGCAAUCGAAAACAGAAAGUACAUAAUGAUAAUCAUGGCGUAAGACGGUCGAAGAAAAGAAGGCGAAAGGACCUAGAUGAUCAGUAUGUGAGAUCUUCAAUUAAAAAAUACGCAGUGCACGAUGCUACUAUCGUCCAGUACGGAGGAGCAACGAAAGCUUUUAGGCUACGAAUGGCUAAACUAGGGAAAGAUCCGAAGGAGACUGAUGAUAAGAUUAAUACUAAGCUGGAAAGAAAAAUUCUUAGAAGAUUAAAGAGACGUAAGAAAGCAAAAAAACUGACCGCUGAAAAUUUGAAAAAGCUGCCUAAUAUUGGCAAAACAGCAAAGGUAUUGAGGUGGGUGACAAUUCAUAAACGUAACAUGAAGAUGAAUGUGGUAUACCAGAAUAGCUGGACUGGGAACGAGAAUCUAAGCUCGUCGAUGCGACUAAGGGGGGCAGGUGGGGGAGCAGCAAUCAAGGAAGAAAGGACAGUCAAGCGAAAGGUAUCUCUUGGUGUGAGAAGUGUCGGCGAAGGAGAAAAUUUUGAAGGGGUAGAACAACGGGAGGGAGAAGAAGCAAACGAACAAGGAUCCUCCAUUGAAGAAAGGGAACGCGCUUCAGGUGUCAAAGAACAAAAUACAACUGUAGGGGUGAAAGAGGGAGAAAGAAGGAAAAAGAAAUUUCGGAAAAGGAGAAAGAAGAGAAGAUGUGAUGAUCAGGAAAAAGACGAAGGCAUUGCAUCUGAAGAUUCUUUAGUCAUCAUCAAGAAUUGGCAAGUUCAUCAGAAGAGAAAAGGAGAAGUUGACAGCUCGGACGAGCAAGACAAAAACAAUGGCAACGAGAGCCCAAGAAGUGAGCAUUCAAGUAACCAAAAGUAUAAGAUACGCAGCAGUGACGCCGAAUCUGGCUUGUCGGUUUAUCCUCCCGAAUCUCCUGGGCUGGAAUCAGCUUCAAAUAGAGUGCAAACACCGGAAACAGAGCAUGAACCAGAAAUAGAAGAAGACUGCAAAGACAACAAGGAAAGAAACAGAAGCACAGCAACUUCGCAUUGGAAAUUGUUGCAGCCAAAGUUACAAAAGGCCCAACGCAGACGCGCAAUCAAUACGCAAUUUGUGGAGAUGACAAGGCAGCUUUUCGCCCAACUUUCACUUCGAACGAAAGAAUACACCAAGCUGCCUCCAAUCAAACACAGAAACAGAGCUUUUUCAAUGGCAACCAGUCGAUUUAGCAACUUUUCUCAGAAAAAAUCGCCACGAUCGACCAGUGAAAGGAGUAAGAACACAAACACCCCCGUAUCUAGUAACCAAUAAAAUCGAUGAAAGGUUGCUGCCCAAAGAAGGUCGUUGUAUGUUUGAAUAAUGACAUUUUAGUGCGUAGCUGGCAGCAUCGUUUGGGAUCAUUGAGGCGAUAUUGAAGCGACGUACAACGUGCCUUGAUUCUAUUAUAUUGAAAAUAUCAUUAUUGCCGUUCCGUUUUGAUAAAACAGCGUUUUCUUCAGUGAAAAGAUUUCGUUCCCGCACUACACCUUGCCGAUUGGCGCUGCCACUUGAGACUUGAGAUUUUCUGACGAUUACUGUAAUUGUAAUAUAUUUUUCUUCAGUGACAAUUAAUGACGAAGUGUAAAUAAUUAAAUAAACACUGAAGCAUUGUUUUUAAUGCAUACAAAGCAUAUUGUUCAGCAUAGACGCAGGUAGUUAUUUCAAAAGUGGGGGGGGGGUGAGAGUCAAAAAGGGGAACUCUUGUUAGCUGCAAAUAGGUCAUUUACAUGUUUCUGAAAAAAGUGGGGGGGGGGGGCACGUGCCCCGUGUACCCCCUUAGUCCCGAUGGCUAUGUCGACAGGUACCCUGGGUACCAGACUCACUAUAUAUGAAAUAAAAUAGAGAGUCUGGUAUUUUAUAUAGUGAGUCUGGUACCCAGAGUAUGUCGAAAGGUAGGUUUUACUGAGAUUGUCAAGUGUAAAGUAUCCAUGGGAAAGGGAGGUCUUGGUCUAAAGCAGUUCUGUUGGCUAGACUAAAAUUGAAUCAUUGGCUAGAUCAAGUUCUCCGAAAAUUGUUUCAUUUACUAGGUUAUUAUCAACAGAAAUGGGUUGUCAAGAUGAACUCCCGACUUUCGACUAAACAUUGUCUUUACCUCGGCCCAACCAAAACUGCAAAAAUAUAUAACAAAAAAAUGUAAGACCAGACGUCCAAAAAAAGUAUACCCUUGCUUGUGCUAUUAGCCAUUAUUCAUCCUAGGGCUUGGUGUGAAAUCCCCCCGAAGAAAUUUUCUCGGUUUGAAGGAAAGAUCGAAAUUUAUAGAGAGAUUGAAAUCUAUAAUUUGAUUUGGCCCUCAAUCAAUUUCUCACUUUGAUAGAUAGCAAAUUCACACUACUAUUUCUCGCCGACAGCCUUACUGAUUGUGUUCUGUUUUGUUAAAACAUAAUUGGCAUCAAGUCUAACUUAAGGUUUAGAUAAAAUUGUAAAAUUUUUCAGAAUCAAGCGAGGAUCAUCAUCACUAAAGAUAAACAUCAAGGGCUUGCUUCUCUUCUUAGGGCUUUUCCUGACGAUAAAUAUCAAAAGAAUUCAAAAACUCUCUAUUAAAAUAUUCUUACAUUAAAGCAAAAUUCAAGUUUUAGAUAAUUUGAAUUAUUUUCUUCUCUAAUUAUUUCUAACAAACUUUGGCAGUUUUAGAUAAAAGUAAAUAGCCACUACUUUACACUUCUUUUCUCUUUUCCUAAUGCAAAAACCAAAUAGCAUCAGCUUGAAAACUGACAAAAAUAAAUACGAAACUUGAAAUAAGUAGCCUGCGCUCCAGGCCCCUUACUAGAAACUAGCUGUGGAGAAGCAUACCCUCUGACAACGAAACCAACUUGCACAUGCUAUAAUAACCCUUCAUAUUUACACUGGCUAAUUUGUUCGGUAAAUAAAAUAACUGGUAUCAAUCAAAGACCUGUACUUUACAUCAUAAAAUUUUAAAAUUAUAAGAAUCAAAGUUAAAAAAUAGCAAGAAUUAAAGUUAAAAAAUCUACCAGAAUAGAAGUUAAAAAUUUAAAAGAAAAAAUAUAAAAUACACAAGAAUUAAAUGAUAUUUGAUACAUUGUUAAAAAUCUAGGUUUACCUAAUUUUUUCCUUACUGGAUGCUUGAAUUUCAAAAGUGACGUUCGAGUCUACUAGUCUUAUAUAUUUCAAUAUGCACCGGGGUCAUAUGGUUUAUUAUGAAAGGGUGAAGUCUCCCUUUUUGAAAAUUGAAAACCUCUUUUAUGACUGCCUGAAGAAAUUUAUUGAUUAGCCCCUCAACUUAUUGUGACGUUAUAAGCCUCGUAUUUAUGUUAUGUUGGGCAUGCGCCCGGUUUGUUAUGUAUUGUUAUGCGUGAGAAUACAAAAUGGAGUACUGAAGUUCGAGUUGGGGUGUUCUUUCGUUGUUACAUACCGGAUAAUCUUACACUUAUAGAGACAUUUUGCCCUCUCCAUCAAUUCUUCUGUCCCUUCUGUGCAUUGCUGCCUACCUUUGAAAACAUCCAUCAGAAUCCUCUGAGAGACGAGGCCCUCCCCUUUCCUCUUCGCCCGUUCUUCAUCCUUUGACUCUCUGAGGCUCUGGCACCCAGGGCACCAAGCCUUUUACAUUCUUUUGGAGUUAAAAAUCACAUCAAUUGUGAGUUAUUAGACUAGCUAUCGAGUGUUGCAUUGCGUAAUUUCGAGUGUUUCAUUUUCCUUCUUGAUUUAAUUUCCACUAUAUCUCAAGUCUUUCUAGUCUCUUUUUCCCUCUUACCUUGUUUUUUAGCUAAAGUUCAAAAUCUAGCGACACAAAUACACAAUUUUAAUGGAUUAUGUGCAAUUUUCAUGGCUCCAAAUGUGAAAUUAAGAACUAUUAAGGAAUUUUUAGUACUACAAUUUGAUCAAAAGUGGUAGAAAAAUAAGGAACUUCUAGAAAUAGGCCUCGAGCUAAGUUCCUAAUAAAUAAAAAGCAUGUACAUGGAUGAGUAUGCUUUAGCCUGGGAAAGCCCCUAUUCUCGACCUUAAAACUUAAAAUAGCCUUCAAAUUAGCGCCCAUCGCAGGCAAACUUUCUCAAGUAACGAUAUAAUUAAAAUUCGACGAAAGUUUGUACCUGCAAACGAACGUCUUUUUGAUAGUAAUUGAAAGUUUUUCGUAUUUUGGAUGAUUCUAGACCAAAAGAACCCCAAUAAAUCCCAGGGUUGAAAAUUUGAGUGUUGUCUAAAUCUAGGGAAGUUUUUUACCUGAAGGAUAGUUGGCAUGCUGAGUCGGAAAAUUGACAUCAUUUUGUUCAAAUAUGAUUAAAAAUUAUAAACACGUUUCUUAGUACAAAACCUGGUAAUACAUCUACCAAUAUACUUAGUCACUGCUCUGUAGGGCAGUUCUAGUUUUAACCCAAAUAUUUGGGACAUAUCAGAGAUAAUUUGUAGAGCACAAGGCAGCACAAAAAGUCUAGGUAGACCUUACAUUGAGUCUAAAUUCAUCAACCCCAGACUGGACAGUUGUACCAGCAAAAACGUUGAUCCAGCAAAAAGAGGUACCUUUUAAGAAAUGAGGGGGGCUAAAACUAUCGGGCAUGGGUCUAUACUUCCUAAUAAUGCCCAUUCAUCGGCACCAUUCGUAUUGAAAAGUGCUGAAAACUGUGCCCAUUUUAUUUUUCCUCACAAGCAUCGUAGUUUUAACUUGCAAAUAACCAAAGGGCAGACAAACACAACAUUUUUUGCAAUAUUGAAAAAAGCUACUUCAGAAUAAAGAUAAGAGACUACAAUUGUUGCCAGGCUACUUUGUCUCGCUCUUAUCACACUUUAAGAAGGGUAUUGUCAACAAAAACCACAGGAAAUAGAUCUGGUGUGUGGGCGGCUGAGAAGGCGAACUCUGUUCUCGGAAAGACGCAUGGACUGAGUAAUCACUGAGACUAGAUUGAGAGCGACCUGGCAAUUCGAACUGCUGUUCUUUCACAAAAUGGUCUGAUGUGCAGAGCUUGCUGUGUGGAAAAUGGCAAAGUUGUUCAUCGACAAAAAUGACAUCGCUUCAAGGGCUGCAUGGUUUUAUGUGCUAAUGCAUGAAGCACCCAUUGAAAUAUAUGAAUUCAAUCCAAACAAUGAGGAACUAGAAGAGGAAAACCCCUUGAAAAUGGUGCCUUUCUUGAUUGAUGGUCAUGUGAAGGUAUGGGGAAGCCAAGCAACAAUCUUUUACAUUGCUGAGAAAUAUAGUGCUUUUGAGGGCCUUGGGAAGACAUUUGAAGAAAGAGCUAAGACGGAAUCCAUUUUAGCAUGGGCUAACACAACUCUUUAUAGGACUGUCAUUACAGACUUUGUUGCACCACAAAUAUAUGAAGAUGAAGCACUACCAGGUGAAAGCAGCAAAAUUCAGGUGGAAUUUGCAAGAAAGUCUUUAACUGAGCAGCUGGAUGUUCUAGAAGGGUCAUAUCUAAAGAUAAAGAACUACAUGAUUCAGGAUAGUGUCCAUUUUGUUGACUAUUAUGUUGGUAUGAUUUUGUCACUUUUAGAUAAAGUGAACUUUGAUCUAGCAAAGUGGCCAAAAACGAAGAAAUGGUGCAAUGAAAUAAAGAAGAAAAUGUCUAAAAAUAUAGAAUUGUUUCAUGAACAAUAAUAGAUUUGCAUUAGCAAUAAGAGGAGAAAAUUAUAUUUAUUACAAAGGAAAAAAAUAAUACUUUAUAGAACCUUUGGUAGUAUUAUGGUUCAUAUAAAAAACAAUAUGUCUUUUAUUGAUAAUCAAACUAAAGCCUCUUCGUCAGAUGCAGCACUCCAAAUGCUGAGCAAAAUGUGAUGAAAUCAGCCCUGUCCACAAUAAAAGAUUUGAUGUCACCUUUUGUAUUCCUAAAAAGCCUAGUCCAAUUGCAAAGGGAUAAACUGAAAAUAUUCUAACUGGCACUAUUUUUCAUGAAUAAAUACAUUUUUCAUGAUUGGUUUAUAAUUUUACCACCUAGAGUUUCCAAUACACCUAUUAAACAACAAGACAGCUCUGUGCCUUACAACAAUAGAAAAUGCAAGGAGGAAUACAUUUCGGAAGAGCUUCUUAGCAAGUUGUUUGAAUCUAACAACACAAUCUUAAAAGAACUUUUUUACCUAUCUUUUACAAAAUAAUUUAUUAAAGCAGCAAUAGCUAAUUAUCUAUUUUAUAGCAAGCAUUUUGUUGCCCUGCUUAAAAAUAUGUGGGUGAUUUUUAACUUCGUAAAAAAGGAAAUUACACCCUAGACCAAGACAAGGUAUACUGAGGGGCAAAUCACUCCAAGAAAAUCUCAUACACCUUUAGUGAAAAUUCUAUUGUUUUAUCUGAAAAUCCCCAGAAAUCCUUUUGUUUUAGGUAAAAUCUCAUACGCUAUUUGCAAGAGUGAACUGCCCCUCGAGCUAUACAAUGUCCUAUUAAAAACUUCAAAAAGGGAAGAAUUUAAAAAGUAAAGCAUGAAAUUAGGUUUUUCAACUGUGUUGUAGCAAAUGGUAUUAUUCUCAAAACAUCGCCUGAAUGUCAUAUUUCCUAAAACACCUUAAUAACCUUCACUCAGCCCUACAGUUUUAUUUUGAAAAGAAAUAAAUGGAUUCCUUGCCAUUUCUUGAUGUUUAUUUUAAAGUCUUGCACUUGAUUUCUUAACAGUGAUUAUUGUAAACUUUCAAUGUUACACAUACACUUGAUAGAAUUAUAUUUGCUCAAAACAAAAGAAAAUCAGCCUUAUCAAAACAUUGACUCAAAGGCUGCUAGUGUUUAAAUCCAAGUCAAAACUUGGCUCAAAAUUAAAUAAGGAUACUAUAAAAGGUACUAAAAAAAGAUAAGGGUUGUCCGAUAGGGCCCCGGUACAGAGUUUAUCUAAAACUACCUUGGAUGGGUAAAAUUCCCUUGUGAUUGAAGAGGCAAUUUCAAAAUUAAUAUUUUGCUGUUAAUACUUGUAUAAUUUUUCAGUACAAAAGGGUCCUUCUAUCCAUUCAAAGAGAUUGUGCUCUUACCAUCCAAAAAAUAAUUCAUGAGUUUUUAUGCCACGUGAUUCUUGCUACGUAGGUAGAACAACACAGAGUUUCAGUUCAUUUUCAGUUCAUUUUCAAUGAAGAUUGGAUGAUAGAUUAAAACUGCCCUACUUACCUCUUCU
Non-coding RNA from Rhopilema esculentum, 10682 nucleotides. Lineage: Eukaryota; Metazoa; Cnidaria; Scyphozoa; Rhizostomeae; Rhizostomatidae. The record is from RefSeq and is a predicted model, not a curated record.